RNAcentral lists this transfer RNA (74 nucleotides) under Phelsuma laticauda (broad-tailed day gecko). RNAcentral describes it as "tRNA-Ile". It matches the Rfam family "tRNA". From Rfam's summary of the family: Transfer RNA (tRNA) molecules are approximately 80 nucleotides in length. Their secondary structure includes four short double-helical elements and three loops (D, anti-codon, and T loops). Further hydrogen bonds mediate the characteristic L-shaped molecular structure. tRNAs have two regions of fundamental functional importance: the anti-codon, which is responsible for specific mRNA codon recognition, and the 3' end, to which the tRNAs corresponding amino acid is attached (by aminoacyl-tRNA synthetases). tRNAs cope with the degeneracy of the genetic code in two manners: having more than one tRNA (with a specific anti-codon) for a particular amino acid; and 'wobble' base-pairing, i.e. permitting non-standard base-pairing at the 3rd anti-codon position. The record is from RNAcentral. Lineage: Eukaryota; Metazoa; Chordata; Lepidosauria; Squamata; Gekkonidae.
GGAAAUGUACCUAAGCAUGAUUAAGGACUACUUUGAUAGAGUAUACUACGCGGGUUAAAAUCCCCCCAUUUCCU